RNAcentral lists this ribosomal RNA (500 nucleotides) under uncultured Glomeromycotina. Its description in RNAcentral is "partial small subunit ribosomal RNA". It matches the Rfam family "Eukaryotic small subunit ribosomal RNA", at positions 591 to 1092 of the family's 1831-position model. Lineage: Eukaryota; Fungi; Glomeromycota. The record is from RNAcentral.
CCAAUAGCGUAUAUUAAAGUUGUUGCAGUUAAAAAGCUCGUAGUUGAAUUUUGGGUCUGGCCGGGCGGUCCGCCCUCUGGGUGAGCACUGUUCCGACGCCGGGCCUAUCCUUCUGGUGAGUCGGCAUGUCCUUUAUUGGGUGUGUCGGGGAACCAGGACCAUUACCUUGAAAAAAUUAGAGUGUUCAAAGCAGGCGUAUGCUCGGAUACAUUAGCAUGGAAUAAUGAAAUAGGACGCGUGGUGCUAUUUUGUUGGUUUCUAGAACCGCCGUAAUGAUUAAUAGGGAUAGUUGGGGGCAUUAGUAUUCAAUUGUCAGAGGUGAAAUUCUUGGAUUUAUUGAAGACUAACUUCUGCGAAAGCAUUUGCCAAGGAUGUUUUCAUUAAUCAAGAACGAAAGUUAGGGGAUCGAAGACGAUCAGAUACCGUCGUAGUCUUAACCAUAAACUAUGCCGACUAGGAAUCGGGCGAUGUUAUUCUCAUGACUCGCCCGGCGCCUUAUG